Rattus norvegicus (Norway rat) is the source of this 3582-nucleotide non-coding RNA. The record is from RefSeq and is a predicted model, not a curated record. Lineage: Eukaryota; Metazoa; Chordata; Mammalia; Rodentia; Muridae.
GUAUUUUUUUAAUCAGCAAAAUUAUGUAAGCUUUAUUGUUUCUUCAGAUGAGGAAAACAUGCUCAUCAAGAUUAACUUGGCAGGCAGUGGUAGAAGUGAGAUUCAAACCAAGAUGCUUGAUAUAAAAGGGGAUGUUGGAUCAGAGAUGUCCUAUGUUCUAUGUCGAAGGUGGUGGAACAAGGCUGAGAAAGAGACCUUUCUACCAUAGAGGAAGGAAAAAAUGGAUUUGGUCUUAGUGGCUCUGACAGCUGAAAGUAGAAAGAAAAAAAAGGCAAUCAGGAAGGAGUUCUGGACCAAUACUGGGGACUGCAGAUCCAUUCCUAGUUACUGGUUCCUAUUAUUGGUGGUAAAAUGGGCCACACAACUCAUCUGCAGGGGACCUCAGGAGGAUGUCACAGAUACAUUCGAGUAGGCAAGGUAAGUGGCCUUGCAGGCUUUGUGGGACACUGACAGGGAUUCAGUGGGCAUGGUAUUUAAGAGGGAUCGAAGAGCCUGUUGAGAGCAGGUGGACAGUGAUGUGGGGCCAUUGGAGAAGGAAUGUAGGGGAGAAACAUUUCAUGGGCUGGAGACUGGAAAUACGUUGGCAACAUAAUAUACAGAAUUCUAGUCCUGCUUUCGCAGAGAGCAACUACCUAAAAUCUACAUUGUUUUUUGGUUCUUUUUUUUUUUUUUCCGGAGCUGGGGACCGAACCCAGGGCCUUGUGCUUCCUAGGCAAGUGCUCUACCACUGAGCUAAAUCCCCAACCCCUAAAAUCUACAUUGUUAAUGUUAGCUCAGAACCUGUUGCUGGACUUUCACCUCUGAGCAUGUUUCCUCCACAAAUGCUGGGGGCGAGCAAGGUGCAAGUGCCUAUAAAACAAUGUGAGCGGAGCUGGCAGGGUCAGGAUGUGGCAGGAUUAGUUUAGCCAUAAAGAUCUAGCUACUUCAUCAAAGUAUCUUCACUAGACAGUUUUCACAUUACAAUAAACUAGGACCUUUCCAUCUCCAGGGCUCUAUAAAGAGGAGUCAUUUAAGUCCUUAGAAUCCCAAGGAGUACUCAAGAGAUGAAAAAUAUUUUAGGAUGCUUUUAAUCCAUUAAUUAUAGAUGGAAGGAGGCUUAAGACUGGCUCUGAAUCACAUGAUCUCAUAGUGGUUUGGGUUAGUUUCUGACAUUUGCAAACUUUUUCUUUUUUGAAGUAGGGUAACACAUAAGCUCAGGCUGGCCUUGAACUUAUAUAGCUGAAGAUAACCUUCAACUCCUGAUCCCUCUGCCUAUACCUCCUGAAUGCUGGGGUUACAAACACACAUCAUGUAUGGUUCAUGUGGUGAUGGGAGUCUGACCCAGUACUUCAAGUCUCAUGUCCGGAUUUACUUAUUUGUAAUGUCUGAGUGUGGGCAAUGGGUACACAGCUUACAGUGAAAACCAGAAGAGGAUACUGGUUCCCCUGAAGCUGGAAGCACUUGCUCUUAAAGGACCCAGGUUCAGUUCUGGGAAUCCACAUGGCUCACAAUUAACUUUUUUUUUUUUAAAAAAAAGUAUUUAUUAUGUAUACAUCAUACAGAUUUCUGCCUGCAUAUGUGCCUGCAGGCCAGAAGAUGACACCAGAUCUCAUUAUAGAUGGUUGUGAGACACCAUGUGGUUGCUGGGAAUUGAACUUAGUACCUCUGGAAGAGCAGUCAGUGCUCUUAACCGCUAAGCCAUCUCUCCAGCCCCAUAAUUAACUCUUAACCCAAGUUCUUGGGACUGACACUCUUUUACCAUCCAUGGGUACUGUACAAGAUACGUCCAAGUAAUUCAUAUAUACACUUUGCUUUUAAAAGACUAUGUCAUUAUGUAGCCAUCAUGUAGCCCAGGCUGGACUUGAAAUCAGCGACUCCCCUUGCCUUUGCCUUCUGAGUGUUGGAUUAAAAGUAUGUGCUACUAUGCCUGGCAUAAAAAUAAAUCUUUAAAAGAAGAUAAAGGGCUGGAGAGAUGGAGGUUACAGGAUCCUCUUGGGACUAUUAUGAUGCUGUCUCUCCAAGGCCAGUACCCAGCUUCUGACACGGGUGCUGGGGAUCCGAACCAGACCCACACUUGUACACUAAGUAGUGACUGAGCAGUUUCUCAAGCUUUGGUUGUUUCCUCAUGUGUAAAAUGGGCCAUGCCAUUCUUAGGAUAUUUGGGUCAACAUUGUAAUCAGGGAGUCCUUGGUACAGGUCAAAGCUUACAUUGAUGACCACUUAGCAAUUUAGCAAGGGCUUGGUAUCAUCGAGAGCAAAAGCAAGAAUCAAAGUUAGAAACUCCCUAAAAUAACCAGACAUAAAACUCAAGCCCAAGCCUGGACUUACACCCAGUAGGGGAACUAAACAGAUACAGUAAUGCCCAUGUUGAAGAACCAAGUCCUUUUCCAUGAAAUUCAUCCUCUACAAUGUCAAAAGAUGUAGAGGAAUGCAGCCUGACUGCCCCACUAUCAUUUGAGAAGGGUCCCCAGGCCAGUGAUCUCUGACCUGUAGGAUGAUCAAGAACAAGUUCAGUGUGGUUAACAUAGUCCACAGUCGCUUCUUGUAAAAGUCAAAACUUAAGUUGGGUGUGGCCAGUAUCUUCACCAGUACCUUAAAUUUAAGUAAAAGCUAUCUGACCCAACAAAAGCCAGCAACACUGAAGGUCUUUGAGACAGUGUUUCUCUGUAUAAAGAGCCCUGGCUGUCCUGGACUCAUUCUGUAGAUCAAGCUGGCCUUGACCAGAGAUCCACCCGACCCCAAUUCCAGAGUGCUGGCAUUAAAGAUGUGACACACAAGGCCAGCCUAGUGAUAGUGUUUUUAUAUCAUCGGACAAGGACCCAGGUGUGAUUCCAGGCACCCAACUAGUGACUCUCAAUUCUCUCCAGUCUGAGGGACUUGAUGCCGUAGUCUGGUCUCCACAGGCAUCCAGAAUGGACAUGGUGCUUAGAUACAUUCAGCUAUAACACCCCAGAUGUCUACUAGAACAGGGAGGCAGUAGUACAAGAAGCCAGUUUCAAAACCACUGUUUAUAAACUCUUCCUCUUCUUGUUGAGGGGAACCACCCCAGCAUUCUACUGCUGUAGUCUAUAUCAGAGCUCAGGGUGUAUGAGCACAGCAGCUGUUUCCUGCCUUGCCACAGUCUGCACCACAUCCCACACUUUAACGAUGGAGCAGAGUGGGACCUUAUUCAUCCUGCCCCGCCCAUAUCCCCACCAUGCCCCACCCGAGAGCUCAACAUAAAGGGUUGCCUGACACCCAGGUUUUGUGGUUUCCACUUUAUUGCUCAAGCACAGGACUUGAGGUGUGCCUGGACCUUCAGCGUGCAUUAAAGAGGCUGAGGGGAUGGGGACAGGGAUGACCUGGAUGAGGAAACUGAGAGGAGGGGAGGAAAGGGGAAGUACUGGUAGGAGCUGUCUAGAGGCGAUCACUGUGAUACCGGGGGAUGUUACCGGGAAUACCAUCUCAGGAGAGCAAGGCAAGAGAGGUAAUGGACACAACAGUGGUUUUCCCAUGCCCCUAGCACCUUCAUGGAGACCGCAGGCUUGGAAAACAACCACAGAGGGAAGGGAUGGGAAAAAUGGCUGCCCAGGAGUCUUCUCCACCCUGGCUUAUCAGACCCCA